ACGAACGCUGGCGGCGUGCUUAACCCCUGCAAGUCGAACGGAAAGGCCCUGCUUUUGUGGGGUGCUCGAGUGGCGAACGGGUGAGUAACACGUGAGUAACCUGCCCUUGACUUUGGGAUAACUUCAGGAAACUGGGGCUAAUACCGGAUAGGAGCUCCUGCUGCAUGGUGGGGGUUGGAAAGUUUCGGCGGUUGGGGAUGGACUCGCGGCUUAUCAGCUUGUUGGUGGGGUAGUGGCUUACCAAGGCUUUGACGGGUAGCCGGCCUGAGAGGGUGACCGGCCACAUUGGGACUGGGAUACGGCACAGACUACAACGGGAGGCAGCAGUGGGGAAGAUUGCACAAUGGGCGGAAGCAUGAUGCAGCAACGCAGCGUGCGGGAUGACGGCCUUCGGGUUGUAAACCGCUGUCGCCUGUGACGAAGCGUGAGUGACGGUAAUGGGUAAAGAAGCACCGGCUAACUACGUG
Molecule: ribosomal RNA, 467 nt
Filed under: uncultured bacterium
Lineage: Bacteria
Description: partial 16S ribosomal RNA
Rfam family: Bacterial small subunit ribosomal RNA
Source: RNAcentral